GAUGAACGCUAGUGGGAGGCCUAAUACAUGCAAGUCGAGCGGUAGAGUGACUUCGGUUGCUUGAGAGCGGCGCACGGGUGAGUAACGCGUACAUGACCUACCUUUAAGACUGGGAUAGCCCUGGGAAACUGGGAUUAAUACCGGAUGUGAUAAUACGUAUAGAGAUGUAUUAUUAAAGUUGAGGCGCUUAGAGAUGGAUGUGCGUCUGAUUAGCUAGUUGGUAGGGUAACGGCCUACCAAGGCGACGAUCAGUAGGGGCGUGAGAGCGUGGCCCCCCACACGGGUACUGAGACACGGACCCGACUCCUACGGAGGCAGCAGUAAGGAAUAUUGGUCAAAUGGACGGAAGUCUGAACCAGCCAUCCCGCGUGCAGGAUGACUGCCCUAUGGGUUGUAAACUGCUUUUAGCAGAG
This 413-nucleotide ribosomal RNA is filed under the name uncultured bacterium. RNAcentral describes it as "bacterial SSU rRNA". It matches the Rfam family "Bacterial small subunit ribosomal RNA", at positions 28 to 444 of the family's 1533-position model. The record is from RNAcentral.